AAAAUUUAAAAAAAAUCUUUUAACUUAUUAUUUUUUUGUUUAAUCAAAAAUAAAAUUGAUCAGUUAACCUGAUAUAAUUUUUGGCUUUAGAAAUGACAUGUGACAUUUGUUGAUUAAAUUUACAUCCAUUAAAAAAAAUGUCAUGUAUAUAUCUAAUAACAUAUAUGCUUUCAUAAUGAGGCUUUAAAAAUGUAAUUUUACAAUUUCUACAAAAGUAACUGUAAACCUUUAUAGAGUUGAAAUGGUUAUCUAAAAAAUAAAUCUGAUCUUCAUAAAGUAUACAGAACCAUUGCCCACUCCUAUACCACAUCUUUAUAUAUGAAAUAAAAUACAAAAUAACAAGCAAUUAAAGCUACUCAAUAACUAAUACAUAUGGCAGGUAAAAGUGAGAUUUUUCUUUUAAAGAUCUUUGUUAAAAAGAAAUCCUUACA
Molecule: non-coding RNA, 431 nt
Organism: Biomphalaria pfeifferi
Lineage: Eukaryota; Metazoa; Mollusca; Gastropoda; Planorbidae
Source: the annotation of a GenBank genome assembly